RNAcentral lists this ribosomal RNA (484 nucleotides) under uncultured bacterium. RNAcentral describes it as "partial 16S ribosomal RNA". It matches the Rfam family "Bacterial small subunit ribosomal RNA", at positions 30 to 507 of the family's 1533-position model. The record is from RNAcentral.
AUUGAACGCUGGCGGCAGGCCUAACACAUGCAAGUCGAGCGGAUGAAGGGAGCUUGCUCCUGGAUUCAGCGGCGGACGGGUGAGUAAUGCCUAGGAAUCUGCCUGGUAGUGGGGGAUAACGUCCGGAAACGGGCGCUAAUACCGCAUACGUCCUGAGGGAGGAAGUGGGGGAUCUUCGGACCUCACGCUAUCAGAUGAGCCUAGGUCGGAUUAGCUAGUUGGUGGGGUAAAGGCCUACCAAGGCGACGAUCCGUAACUGGUCUGAGAGGAUGAUCAGUCACACUGGAACUGAGACACGGUCCAGACUCCUACGGGAGGCAGCAGUGGGGAAUAUUGGACAAUGGGCGAAAGCCUGAUCCAGCCAUGCCGCGUGUGUGAAGAAGGUCUUCGGAUUGUAAAGCACUUUAAGUUGGGAGGAAGGGCAGUAAGUUAAUACCUUGCUGUUUUGACGUUACCAACAGAAUAAGCACCGGCUAACUUCGCG